Molecule: ribosomal RNA, 253 nt
Filed under: uncultured bacterium
Lineage: Bacteria
Description: partial 16S ribosomal RNA
Rfam family: Bacterial small subunit ribosomal RNA
Source: RNAcentral
UACGUAGGGCGCAAGCGUUAUCCGGAAUUAUUGGGCGUAAAGAGCUCGUAGGCGGUUUGUCGCGUCUGCCGUGAAAGUCCGGGGCUCAACUCCGGAUCUGCGGUGGGUACGGGCAGACUAGAGUGAUGUAGGGGAGACUGGAAUUCCUGGUGUAGCGGUGAAAUGCGCAGAUAUCAGGAGGAACACCGGUGGCGAAGGCGGGUCUCUGGGCCAUUACUGACGCUGAGGAGCGAAAGCGUGGGGAGCGAUCCGG